Molecule: ribosomal RNA, 450 nt
Filed under: uncultured bacterium
Lineage: Bacteria
Description: partial 16S ribosomal RNA
Rfam family: Bacterial small subunit ribosomal RNA
Source: RNAcentral
CCUACGGGAGGCAGCAGUGGGGAAUUUUUCGCAAUGGGCGCAAGCCUGACGAAGCAACGCCGCGUGGAGGAUGAAGGUCUUCGGAUUGUAAACUCCUGUCGACCGGGACGAAUGCACCCGACCUAAUACGUCGGAAUGUUGACGGUACCGGUGGAGGAAGCCACGGCUAACUCUGUGCCAGCAGCCGCGGUAAUACAGAGGUGGCAAACGUUGUUCGGAAUUACUGGGCGCGAAGUUGGCGUAGUCGGCUGAAAGCCCUCGGCUUAACUGAGGAUCUGCACGGGAUACUGCCCGGCUAGAGUAUGGGAGAGGGAAGCGGAAUUUCCGGUGUAGCGGUGAAAUGCGUAGAUAUCGGAAGGAACACCAAUGGCGAAGGCAGCUUCCUGGCCCAAUACUGACGCUGAGGUGCGAAAGCGUGGGGAUCAAACAGGAUUAGAUACCCCAGUAGUC